GUGUGAGAAAAUUGUAGAAAAAUUGUCCAAAAGAGACUGGGAUACCUUGACAAAGAUAAGGACAACAGCAUGCCCCUAACACACCAAUUGAAUAGAAAUGAUAUGAUAGAGAAAACAGGCAACUAGAAAUUCCAGCAAUUUCCAUCUAUAUCAACUUUUAACUAUGCAUUGCAUUUGACACAUAAUCAAGCUGUGUUUGCUACAGGAUAAAAACAAACUGCAGCAGGUAAGAAAAGGAAAAC
RNAcentral lists this unclassified non-coding RNA (242 nucleotides) under Hevea brasiliensis (rubber tree). The record is from RNAcentral. Lineage: Eukaryota; Viridiplantae; Streptophyta; Magnoliopsida; Malpighiales; Euphorbiaceae.